CUCUGUGACUCCUACGGGAGGCAGCAGUGGGGAAUAUUGCACAAUGGGGGAAACCCUGAUGCAGCCAUGCCGCGUGUGUGAAGAAGGCCUUCGGGUUGUAAAGCACUUUCAGUAGGGAGGAAGGUAGUGUAGUUAACACCUGCAUUAUUUGACGUUACCUACAGAAGAAGCACCGGCUAACUCCGUGCCAGCAGCCGCGGUAAUACGGAGGGUGCGAGCGUUAAUCGGAAUUACUGGGACGUAAAGCGCAUGCAGGCGGCCUGUUAAGUCAGAUGUGAAAGCCCCGGGGCUUAACCUCGGAAUUGCAUUUGAAACUGGCAGGCUAGAGUCUUGUAGAGGGGGUAGAAUUUCAGGUGUAGCGGUGAAAUGCGUAGAGAUCUGAAGGAAUACCAGUGGCGAAGGCGGCCCCCUGGACAAAGACUGACGCUCAGAUGCGAAAGCGUGGGGAGCAAACAGGAUUAGAUACCCUGGUAG
Molecule: ribosomal RNA, 474 nt
Filed under: uncultured bacterium
Lineage: Bacteria
Description: bacterial SSU rRNA
Rfam family: Bacterial small subunit ribosomal RNA
Source: RNAcentral